This is an RNA transcript of Humulus lupulus (European hop), 2435 nucleotides long. It is a transcript of the gene named uridine kinase-like protein 3, with no coding region annotated. The transcript is spliced from 19 exons. Lineage: Eukaryota; Viridiplantae; Streptophyta; Magnoliopsida; Rosales; Cannabaceae. The record is from RefSeq and is a predicted model, not a curated record.
UAAAAUCAUAUAAAAUGCAUCCACUACACCAAACACCCAUUACCAUAACACAUCAUUAUAAUACUAUUUAAAAAGAGUUAUUGUAUAUAUAAAGUUAAUAACUACAGUCACAAGCGCGGGAAGGUAAAAAUAAAAGCGGCAAGUGAAAAAAAAAAGAGGCAAAUUUUCCUUCUCAUUUUCCCUAUCUCCGAAGUCCUCGUCUCUUUCUCUCUCUCUCUCUCUGUCUCGGUCUUCAUCUCUUUCUCAUUUUCCCUCCCGAAGUCUUCAUCUCUUUCUCUCUGUCAACCAUCUCUUUCUCUCUGUCUCAUUUUCCCUAGCUCGGACCGAACCCUCUCUUUCUCUCUGUCUCAUUUUCCCUAGCUGGGACCGAACCAUUGAAACAGGUGUGUUCUGAAUUCCAUCUUCGAUAUUGGAGGAGACCAUGAUAGCAGCAGUGAUGUUCAGUCACAGAUAGAAAGGGCCUUUUUAGAUGGGGGACACUCCCGCUUACAAGCAGUACGUCGCUGACUUACUCGCUGGAGUUUCCACCGUCACCAUUGGCCAUUCUGUUGACAUCGUAAAGGUGAAGCUGCAAAAACACAAUACUGAAGCACAUGGGAUCAAGUACAAGAAUAGUUUGCAUUGUACUGCUAAGAUACUAAGGACUGAAGGAAUACGAGACUUAAUAGAAGCUUCCUCAGGGGUUCAUUUUUCUGGAUUUCACAUGAACGGUCUGCAGGAAAGGCAUUCAAAUGUGGACCAACCAACAACCUCUGCUACAGAUAACAUUCUUAUGCAACCUUUUGUCAUAGGGGUUGCUGGUGGAGCAGCAUCUGGUAAGACUAUAGUCUGUGAUAUGAUUAUACAGCAGCUUCAUGACCAGCGUGAUGUUCUUGUUAACCAGGAUUCUUUUUACCAUAAUUUGACACCAGAAGAACAUGCAAGAGUACAUGAAUACAAUUUUGAUCAUCCUGAUGCAUUUGAUAAUGAGAAACUUUUAGCUUCUAUGGAUAAGUUGAGGAAUGGGCAAGCAGUAGAUAUUCCAAACUAUGACUUCAAGAGUUACAAAGACAAUGUCUUCCCGCCUAGAAGGGUAAACCCUUCAGAUGUGAUAAUUUUGGAAGGCAUUCUCAUUUUUCAUGAUCCCCGUGUUCGAGAGUUGAUGAAUAUGAAGAUAUUUGUCGAUAUAGAUGCUGAUGUUCGUUUAGCAAGGAGGAUAAGGCGUGACACAGUAGAAAAAAACAGGGAUAUUGGUACAGUUCUUGAUCAGUCUUUCGCAGAGUCCGUGUAUACUGGUGUAGAUUUUUGUAAGAGAUUAUGUGGUGUGUCUAUAAUCAGGAGCGGUGAGAGUAUGGAGAAUGCUCUGAGAGCAUGUUGUAAGGGAAUCAAGAUUGGGAAAAUUCUAAUCCACAGAGAAGGAGACAAUGGCCAGCAGGAAGCUGUUUUGUGAAAUUUGCAACAACUAUUGAAGCCGACAAGGCCAUUGCAGCUCUAAACAAUCAACAUUUUUUUCCUGGGGAACAAAUGCCUAUUACGGUCAAGUAUGCAGGCAAGCCAGACAGAGAAAGAGAACGUCAUGGAUGCGGGUUUGUUAGAUUUUCUCAUCUAGACAUGGCUGUUGCAGCAAUCAGAGCAUUAAAUAGAACUUACACAGGUUGUGAUAAGCCAAUAGCUGUACGUUUUGCAGAACCUAAGAAAGUUAGGAAUGGAGAAGCAAGGAACAAUAAGAUGUUUAGUGGCAUGCCCUUUGGCCCCCAUUCUCAAGAACCAGUUGUUAGGUUAAACAGUUAGGGAAAUCACAAAGGACUAACCAGUUCUUGGAGUCUUUGAAAGCAGAAGGGGAGGUUAUCCUUGAAGAUGUGCAGCCAAAAGCAGGCCAAUCUAGAUCAUCUGCCCCACCUUUAACUGAUCCCGUCACUUUGGCUGUUGAGGAGAAACUAAAUGUAACACUAAAAUGAGAUGGUGGUGUCAGUAACUUUGAUGUUCAGGGAACACUGUCGCUGUAGAUUCUAAAUGCAGAAGAUGGGCAAAUCCCAAUUCAGGGAGCUUUGGAAGACGAACUAUCCGCAGCAGAGAGCCAGCAAAAUCCACAGACACAGUAUUAAGAUUGCGCAAAUGCGAGAUUUGGCAGGGUUUGUCGAGACAAAACUACAGCUCUUGUCUCUAAAAUCAAAUCAUCGUAUGAAUUAGAUCGGCUUUGCUGUUGCUCAUUAUUUAAACUCAAAGUAUAUUGAGAUGAUUUCUUUGGAGCAAUUUUUGACAACAUUUGUAGUUGAGGCCUUUAGAAUGGAAGAAUGUAUUUCACUAAUUUUUGUAUACAUUUCUUGUUUUGUAUUUAGUAGUAAAGGAAUCUGAAUUGGGCAUAAAUUAUGUUGUAAUAUGAUUUCUUAAGCCUAGACUAGUAGACUAAAUAUUGUAAUUACAUUUGAGUAAUUAAUAAAAAUCUAUUUAUGUUA